CUUUUUACCAGUCACCUGAGUAGGUGAUUUUAUUAAUGAUCAGGUUUUUAUGUUCAGGGGAGAAGUUCAUCAGCAAGCACAGUUGCUGGGGUGAUUGGUUGAGAGGAAAAUCUGCACUGUCUUGGCCCUCGUUGCCCACCCC
Molecule: long non-coding RNA, 142 nt
Organism: Thalassophryne amazonica
Lineage: Eukaryota; Metazoa; Chordata; Actinopteri; Batrachoidiformes; Batrachoididae
Exons: 2
Source: RefSeq, a predicted model, not a curated record